RNAcentral lists this long non-coding RNA (4360 nucleotides) under Phoenix dactylifera (date palm). RNAcentral's name for it is "long non-coding RNA (PDAC_LNC006338)". The record is from RNAcentral. Lineage: Eukaryota; Viridiplantae; Streptophyta; Magnoliopsida; Arecales; Arecaceae.
GUAUUAUCUGCAUGUAAGGGGGUGGGAUUGUGCUGUGGGAAACCAAGUUCAGAGAGGAGUCCUCGGAGCCAAAUGAUCUCGAAGCAGGCAGCAGACAUUGCUCGAUAUUCAGAUUCGGUCGAGGAUUUGGAAACCAUGCCCUGUUUCUUACUUUUUCAGGAGAUAAAUGCAUCACCAAGAAACAUGCACCAUCCUGUGGUAGAGCGACGAGUAUCUGGACAUCCUGCAUAACCGGCAUCACUAUAGCCGAUAAAAUCAAGUGUAGUGCUAGUAGGGAAGAACAGACCACGUGUAGGAGUCCCUCUGAUGUAUCGGAUGAUUCUGCGGACAACAAUUAAGUGUAGGUGUCUAGGAAUCUGCAUGAACUGGCUGACUUGUUGUACGGCAAAAGAGAUAUCUGGCCUUGUGAUGGUCAAGUAGACCAAGCUGCCUAUUAGCUUACGAUAAAUAGUAGGAUCAUCCAGAAGGUCUCCUUCAUCUCGGCGAUAUUUCACAUUAAGCUCAAAAGUGUCGACAGAGGAAGUAUCUUGGAGACGAGCCAGGUUGAUCAAAUCGAGGGCAUACUUAUGUUGAUUGAGAUACACUCCAGUGGAGCUGCGGUGGACUUCAAGACCAAGAAAAUGAUUAUGUGGUCAAGAUCUUUCAUAUGAAAAGAGGUCUGAAGGUUCUGUUGCAGCUGUUGAAUGAGAAGAGAGUCAGUACCCGUGACGACAAUAUCAUCUACGUAGACCAAGAGUAAGACAAGACCAGCCGGAGUCUUAUGGAGAAAUAAAGAAGAGUCAUAUUGACUCUGCUGAAAUGAAAGACCAAGAAGAGUGGUUCUAAACUUGUCAAACCACGCGCGAGGGGCCUGCUUCAGCCCAUAAAGAGACCGCUUCAGCCUGCAAACAUGAUUAAGAUGAGCUGCUGAACUGGAUGGGGGCUUCAUAUACACCUCUUCUUAAAUCACCAUGGAAAAAUGCAUUUUUGACGUCCAUCUGAUGAAUGGGCCAGUUUUGAGAGGCGGCUAUAGCAAAAACAAGACGAACAGUGGUCAUCUUGGCAACCGGGGCAAAGGUCUCUUCGUAAUCCACUCCAUAUUCUUGUUUGUUGCCUAAAGCAACCAGCCUUGCCUUAUAUCUGUCUACAGGCCCAUCAGAUCGAAAUUUAAUAGAGAAAACCCACUUACAUCCGAGAGGCUUGACUGUGGUAGGACAAGGGACAGGCUCCCAAGUGUUGUUGGCUGCGAGAGCAUCAAGUUCCUCCUGCAUAGCAUGUCUCCAACAUUGUUCAUUCGCAGCUUGAGAAUAACAAGUAGGGACUGCAAUGUUGGCCAGAGUUGCAGAGAGACAAUUAUGUGAGAAGCCAUAUCUGUCUGGAAGCCGAGUAGACCUAGCAGAGCGCCUGACAUCAGUAGGUAAGAAUGCUGGAGUAGCCUCCUCAGAAAUAGUGUGAGUAGAAGAUUCUGAGUUGAUAACAUGCAGCACAGUAACAACAGUGGUAGCAGGGUCAGAACUGACAACAUUGAGCUCCACUGGAGGUGAAGAAACUACAGGGGGAGCCGCAACUAUGGUGGGUGCAGUACUGCGGCGAGUAUAAACCAAACCUGGUUUAAAACGUCCAGAUGGAGGGCCUGCAACAUCAAUAAGAGGCAAGACAGCAACAGAAUCAAUAGUUAAGAAAUCCGAAACUGGAUUAGUGGCAAAAAAAGAUUGAUUUUCAAAGAAAAUCACAUUCCGAGACACCCGCAUUCUCUUAAGAGCUGGAUCAUAGCACAAGAAGCCCUUUUGAGAAGGACUAUAUCCCAUGAAGGCACAUUUGACUGACUGUGUAGAGAACUUGUAUCGUUCAUGCACUAGCAAGUGAACAAAGCAUACACACCCGAAGAUGUGAAGAUCCUGGUAUUGUCGAUUCUUGCCAAAGAGCCGCAAAUGAGGAGUGUCCAUGCCCAAGACUGGAGAGGGCAGCCUAUUAAUAACAUAGACGGCAAUAGAAAGUGCUUCUGUCUAGAAUUUGGAAGGGACGGAGGACUUAAGGAGCAAGGUCCGAGUAAUGUCAAGCAGGUGCCUAUUCUUUCUCUCGGCAACCCCAUUUUGUUGGGGUGUAUAAGGACAUGUCCGUUGGAAAAAAAUACCUUUCUGCUGUAAUAAGUCCAGAAAAUCAGAGGAUACAUGCUCCCCACCUGAGUCUGUUCGAAGAGCUUUGAUGCAAGUGGAAAACUGAUUCUCCACAUAAGCUAGAAAAUUCUUGAAGGUAGAAAAAACUUCUGACUUGGAGCGCAAAAAAUACAGCCAAGUGAACCGGCUGUAAUCAUCGAUGAAUGUGAUAAAAUAUUUAUAUUUUGCACAAGAAGGAACUGGUGUGAUACCCCAUACAUCACUGUGGACAAUCUCAAACAAAUAAUUUAGAAUACGAGUGUUUGGAUGGCCUAAACAUCGGUGCCAAACCUCACUCUUACUACAGACGGUGUUACUAGCAAAAGACAGCACAUCAGUAAGUGAUCUGUAGAGGAAAUAGUCUCCCAAUCUUAGGUCCCUUCGCUAUCACCUUGCCCGACCCCUGCUCCUACACGAUACAUCCAUUACGAGAGAAAACCAUAGCACAACUAUUGUCAACUAACUGUCCAACAGAAAGAAGAUUGGCAGAUAGCCCAAGAGCGAUAAACACAUCAUUGAAUGCAGCAGAAAUAUCUCCAACAACAGUAAUAGGAAUUGUGUUCUCGCUAGCAGUUUGGAUAUGUGAAUUGCCAUGAUACUUUCAAAUAUUUUGAAGCAUAUCAGGGGUCCUAGUCAUGUGAUUUGAGGCACCAGAAUCAAGGAACCAAGAUUUAGAAGAGACAUAGAAAUUACCUUGAAGACCCAGAGCAAAAAAAGCAGAGAUAAUCAUCUGCUGCAUCAUGGCUGGAGUUAUGGAUGGAGCAAAUGUAGAGGAUUCUUCACAUGAUGAAGUAGAAGAGGCAGCAGACUCCACCGAGGUUUGAUAAGCCUUUGGCUUGGAAGGACGGAUGGGGCAUUCUAUGAUGAUAUGACCAUUUUUCUUGCAAUAAUUGCAGAAUUUCUUGCUGCAAUUUACAGCGAUAUGGCCAUAUUCUUUACAGCUAUAGCACUGAACUGUGCUCAUAUUUCUAGACCUGGAUCUUCCCUGGGCAGUAAAGGCAACUGGAGGACUGUUGUUGGCAUCUUUCUCCAAGAGAGCCUGAGUAAUUCCCCUCUGUUCUGCACGCAGCAGCUCUCCUAGGCAAACAACCAGAGAGGGAGUGACCUCCCUGUUAAGCAAGGCAGAUCUAAUAGCUUUAAAUUCAAGACGCAAGCGCAUGAGAAAUUGAUCCUUUUGGUUUGUGGCAUGGACUUGGUGCACAGCAGCCAAGCCUUCUGCAGGAACUUUAGCUUGAAUAAGGCCAGAAUCAACAAGGCCAGAAUACUCAGUCCAUAGAUUAAGAAAACCUGAGUAAUACUCUUGAAUUGACAAAUUGCCUUGAGAGAAAUUGGCAAUCUCCAACUCAAGCUGAUAGCGCCUAGCAUUAUUGUCAUGAUUGAACACAAGUUUGAGGUAAUCCCACAUCUAUUUUGCAGUGGAAUAUGGACGAAGACUCAGAACUAUAUGAGAGUCAACAGACCUGAGAAUCCAGGCAGUGGCUAUCCAUUCAGCCCUUUUUUCAACCUCAGUUUCUACUGGGAGCUUUAUGGAGCCAUCAAUAUAGCCCCACAGCUUUUUGCCUUGAAGAAGAGUUUGAAAUUGAAACUCCCAAGUCGAAUAAUUCCUCCUUGUGAACUUGAUGCAAACAGCUUCAUGCUUCUCUAUAAUGACAGACAGAAGACCUCGAACAAGAAUAAGAUGAAUAAAAAAAACAGAAAAGAACCAAGAUGUUAGAACUAGGGGAGCACCAAAAAAAACCACCAGAGAUAAGCACUAGAAUGCUUUGAACCAGGACUAGGACAAGAAGCUCCACAAGCUAAGAGAUUUUCAAAGAAAACUAGGAAGAAGUAGCUCUAAUACCAUGUCAGAAUAUUUGAUAUCCCUUGCUCUUAGGCUCUCUUUCCAUUAAAUAGAGGAUUCAAAACAGCUAUACAUGGAAAGUAAAUCAGGGAGAAUUAGCCAUCCCUGAUUUCUAGCUAUCACCUAUAAUUACAUAGCUAUAUUAGGACAGCUAUGCAUGAAAAGUAAAUCAAGGAGAAUUAGCCAUCCCUGAUUCCUAGCUAUCACCUAUAAUUACAGCUGUUAUCUCUAAAUAAUUACAGAGUUAAUACUCCUAAUUGUGCUGCUCAUGUGACAAGAGAUAUCUGGCCUUGUGAUGGUCAAGUAGACCAAGCAGCCUACCAGCUUACGAUAAAUAGUAGGAUCAUCCAGAAGGUCUCCUUCAUCUCGGCGAUAUUUCACAUUA